Molecule: small RNA, 764 nt
Filed under: Pongo abelii (Sumatran orangutan)
Lineage: Eukaryota; Metazoa; Chordata; Mammalia; Primates; Hominidae
Description: retained intron
Source: RNAcentral
CUGAAGCACUGAAUACAAAUAUUCCUGGGCUCCUGUUUUCAAAUAGAUUAACCACGAAAAUUAGCUCCAUGGAAAUUAUUAAUUUGAUUAUAAUCUGUUUAUAAUCUGGGAGUUGGAGCAUUGUAACAUAGAGUAACUCUAAUUUAUAAUUCUCAGUUUUUUCCACCUGCAAGUAGUACUCACUAAUUCCCAACUAUAAUCAUGAGUGGACACUACUUUCAGGUAGAAAAAACUGAAAAUUGUGAAUUAGAGUUAUUUAAUCCUCUCUAACUUUUAUAUUGUGUUAGGUAAUGAGGCGCGCAUGGCUGUUACCCGUGUGAGCGUUCACCGCUAUGACAUCUUUCUCUCAUGUCUCUAAAAUGAUAUUCAAGUUUGAGAGACUCUUGUCAAUAAAUCUUUUCUUUUUUAGUUGAACAGGUAGUUAAGCCCCCCAAAAACAAGACGGAAAGUGAAAAUACUUCAGAUAAACCCAAAAGAAAGAAAAAGGGAGGCAAAAAUGGAAAAAAUAGAAGAAACAGAAAGAAGAAAAAUCCAUGUAAUGCAGAAUUUCAAAAUUUCUGCAUUCACGGAGAAUGCAAAUAUAUAGAGCACCUGGAAGCAGUAACAUGCAAAUGUCAGCAAGAAUAUUUCGGUGAACGGUGUGGGGAAAAGUCCAUGAAAACUCACAGCAUGAUUGACAGUAGUUUAUCCAAAAUUGCAUUAGCAGCCAUAGCUGCCUUUAUGUCUGCUGUGAUCCUCACAGCUAUUGCUGUUAUUACAGUCCA